AUGAUAGAGGAGCGGAAAAUGAAGAGUAUGCUUUUGAGCGGGCCGGCGAUGACGGAGCAGAAAGGCAUUUCCGCCGAAGUGAAAAUCCCUGGCUGGGGUUUUUGCUGGUUUGGCUUUGAAGAGGAGUCAAACUGUCAUCCAAGACCGGAUGGAGUGCUAUCUU
Molecule: non-coding RNA, 163 nt
Filed under: human gut metagenome
Description: Lysine riboswitch
Rfam family: Lysine riboswitch aptamer
About the family: Riboswitches are metabolite binding domains within certain messenger RNAs that serve as precision sensors for their corresponding targets. Allosteric rearrangement of mRNA structure is mediated by ligand binding, and this results in modulation of gene expression.
Source: RNAcentral